This 66-nucleotide transfer RNA is filed under the name Pangasianodon hypophthalmus (striped catfish). RNAcentral describes it as "tRNA-His". The record is from RNAcentral. Lineage: Eukaryota; Metazoa; Chordata; Actinopteri; Siluriformes; Pangasiidae.
GCCGUGAUCCUAUAGUGGUUAGUACUCUGCGUUGUGGCCGCAGCGGUUCGAAUCCGGGUCACAGCA